Molecule: unclassified non-coding RNA, 219 nt
Filed under: soil metagenome
Description: partial contains 5.8S ribosomal RNA, internal transcribed spacer 2, and large subunit ribosomal RNA
Source: RNAcentral
AAGACUAUAGACCUGCGGAGUACCUGCGGAGGGAUCAUUACAGGACUCGCAAGACUCCUACAACCCUGUGAACCUACUAUACGAACGUUGCUUCGGCGGGUGCGCCCCGGGGAUUCGUUCCCGCGGCGCGUCAGCCCGCCGGCAGCCUACAAAUUCUGUUUCUUUGCGUUGGCAUCUCGAGAAAAACAAAUAAGUUAAAACUUUUAGCAAUGGAUCUCU